RNAcentral lists this ribosomal RNA (440 nucleotides) under uncultured bacterium. RNAcentral's name for it is "partial 16S ribosomal RNA". It matches the Rfam family "Bacterial small subunit ribosomal RNA", at positions 338 to 795 of the family's 1533-position model. The record is from RNAcentral.
CCUACGGGAGGCAGCAGUAGGGAAUAUUGCUCAAUGGGGGAAACCCUGAGGCAGCAACGCCGCGUGGAGGAUGAAGGUUUUCGGAUUGUAAACUCCUUUUGUUAGAGAAGAUAAUGACGGUAUCUAACGAAUAAGCACCGGCUAACUCCGUGCCAGCAGCCGCGGUAAUACGGAGGGUGCAAGCGUUACUCGGAAUCACUGGGCGUAAAGAGCGCGUAGGCGGGAUAGCAAGUCAGAUGUGAAAUCCUAUGGCUUAACCAUAGAACUGCAUUUGAAACUGUUAUUCUAGAGAAUGGGAGAGGUAGGUGGAAUUCUUGGUGUAGGGGUAAAAUCCGUAGAGAUCAAGAGGAAUACUCAUUGCGAAGGCGACCUGCUAGAACAUAACUGACGCUGAUGCGCGAAAGCGUGGGGAGCAAACAGGAUUAGAUACCCUAGUAGUC